AUGGCUGGAGUCACUGAUGAUCCUCCGGGAUUUCCUUAUACACCGCCUGGUGUAGAUGUCCUGGAGGGAGGGAAGCUCACCUCCAACAAUGUGGCUGGCAGUUCGCACGACCCUUUUCAGAGCUUUGCGGUUGCCAGCGGUACUGUUUCCAAACCAGGCAGUGAUGCAGCCCGUCAGGAUGCUCUCUAUAGUGCAGGUGUAGAACGAUCUGAGGAUGCUGGGGCUCAUUCCAAACUUCCUCAGCCAUCUCAGGAAGAAGAGGCGUUGAUGUGCCUUCUUCAGCACUGCAUCAGUGUGUGUAGACCAGGUGAGAUCUUCACUGAUGUUAACACCGAGGAACUUGAAGCUGCUUACCCGCUCCACAGGUGUCUUGUCGAUGGUGAUGGGUGUGUGUUCUCUGCUCUGUCUCGAUUAGUCAGGGUGCUCACCUCCUCUCUGUAG
Long non-coding RNA from Cyprinus carpio carpio, 441 nucleotides. Lineage: Eukaryota; Metazoa; Chordata; Actinopteri; Cypriniformes; Cyprinidae. The record is from Ensembl.